RNAcentral lists this ribosomal RNA (368 nucleotides) under uncultured organism. RNAcentral's name for it is "bacterial SSU rRNA". It matches the Rfam family "Bacterial small subunit ribosomal RNA", at positions 526 to 896 of the family's 1533-position model. The record is from RNAcentral.
CGGAGGGUGCAAGCGUUAUCCGGAUUCACUGGGUUUAAAGGGUGCGUAGGCGGGCAGGUAAGUCCGUGGUGAAAUCUCUGAGCUUAACUCAGAAACUGCCAUGGAUACUAUUUGUCUUGAAUAUUGUGGAGGUGAGCGGAAUAUGUCAUGUAGCGGUGAAAUGCUUAGAUAUGACAUAGAACACCAAUUGCGAAGGCAGCUCACUACUCAAUCAUUGACGCUGAGGCACGAAAGCGUGGGGAUCAAACAGGAUUAGAUACCCAGGUAGUCCACGCCCUAAACGAUGAUUACUCGACAUCGGCGAUACACUGUCGGUGUCUGAGCGAAAGCAUUAAGUAAUCCACCUGGGAAGUACGACCGCAAGAUUG